AUUGAACGCUGGCGGCAUGCCUUACACAUGCAAGUCGAACGGCAGCACGGGAGCAAUCCUGGUGGCGAGUGGCGAACGGGUGAGUAAAGUAUCGGAACGUGCCCAGUCGUGGGGGAUAACGUAGCGAAAGUUACGCUAAUACCGCAUACGAUCUAUGGAUGAAAGCGGGGGAUCGCAAGACCUCGCGCGAUUGGAGCGGCCGAUAUCAGAUUAGGUAGUUGGUGGGGUAAAGGCUCACCAAGCCGACGAUCUGUAGCUGGUCUGAGAGGACGACCAGCCACACUGGGACUGAGACACGGCCCAGACUCCUACGGGAGGCAGCAGUGGGGAAUUUUGGACAAUGGGCGAAAGCCUGAUCCAGCAAUGCCGCGUGCAGGAUGAAGGCCUUCGGGUUGUAAACUGCUUUUGUACGGAACGAAAAGCCCCGGGUUAAUACCCUGGGGUCAUGACGGUACCGUAAGAAUAAGCCCGGCUAACUACGUGCCAGCAGCCGCCGCGG
RNAcentral lists this ribosomal RNA (499 nucleotides) under uncultured bacterium. RNAcentral's name for it is "partial 16S ribosomal RNA". It matches the Rfam family "Bacterial small subunit ribosomal RNA", at positions 29 to 523 of the family's 1533-position model. The record is from RNAcentral.